AGCAGUCGCCGCGGUAAUACGUAGGUCCCGAGCGUUGUCCGGAUUUAUUGGGCGUAAAGCGAGCGCAGGCGGUUAGAUAAGUCUGAAGUUAAAGGCUGAGGCUUAACCAUAGUACGCUUUGGAAACUGUUUAACUUGAGUGCGAGUGGGGAGAGUGGAAUUCCAUGUGUAGCGGUGAAAUGCGUAGAUAUAUGGAGGAACACCGGUGGCGAAAGCGGCUCUCUGGCUUGUAACUGACGCUGAGGCUCGAAAGCGUGGGGAGCAAACAGGAUUAGAUACCCCCGUAGUCCCUGUCUCUUAUACA
Molecule: ribosomal RNA, 303 nt
Filed under: uncultured bacterium
Lineage: Bacteria
Description: partial 16S ribosomal RNA
Rfam family: Bacterial small subunit ribosomal RNA
Source: RNAcentral